GCGGCCGCGCCAGGGGUUGGACGCGAGGCGGCCGCGACAGCUCCGGCGUCGGGAACACUCACCGCAGGACGCUUUGCCCUCCUUGGAGUCACAGUAGCCGCAGUGGUAGCCGGCCCUGAGGCCCUUGUAUUCCACCACCGACGCCAUGGCCGCCGCGAGGGUCCACUCGGGCCGACCACGCCUCUCGGCGCCCGGGGCCGACCUCGGCGAAGCGCGGGGGCCCGCGGCGGGAGGGGUGGAGAGCGAGGCCUGGCGUGGGGACCAGUGGGCGGAAAUGGUGGUCGUGUCCCCAAGCCCCGCGUUUGGGCCGGUACUUCCCACAGCUGUGCGUUAUCAGCCCCAUUUCGCAGUUUGCUAAAGCAGAGGCAUACUACUAUCAAUAGCAUCAAGAAAUGAUGAUAGAAGAAGUAUGGAAAUACAAUAUGGUUCCAAAAUGGGAAACUAAAAUAGAGGAAAAGAGACCAUAAAGUGAGAAAACAGAAGAUAGUAAAAAAUGGGACUAUCUAGUGCCUGAGAGGGAACUGAGUCUUACAAAGAAACACAUACACCGGGCUGAACGAACCAGAGGCCUCAGGGACCACAAACACCGACUGCUCCCUCAAAGAAUUCCCAAUGAAAUACUUUCCCCUAAAAUACUAACACUGGAAAAGGAUGGAAAGCAUGAAAAUAUCCAGAAAACACACAAAACUGAAACCAGUAAGCACAAGGUGGCAUGGACAAAGGAACAGAAGAAGGGACAUCAAGACCGAAUGAUCCGAGGGAGAGAACUCAGAGCAAAGACACGCUCAGAAGCGCUCCAGCCCCGUUCCAUCUUUCCUAAAAUCUCAAGUGGAAAAAGAGAAGGUGAAAGUUUGAAGGGGUCACAGCUUAUCCAAUUUUGCAACCUUACUAGAAAGCACUUAGGAAAGUGAUGAUUCUGAUGGAGAAAUUAAAAAAAAGAGGGUAAAAUUAAGAAACCACUCUGAAGGGA
Molecule: small RNA, 970 nt
Filed under: Pongo abelii (Sumatran orangutan)
Lineage: Eukaryota; Metazoa; Chordata; Mammalia; Primates; Hominidae
Description: processed transcript
Source: RNAcentral